UGGGGAAUAUUGCACAAUGGGGGAAACCCUGAUGCAGCGACGCCGCGUGAACGAAGAAGGUAUUCGUAUCGUAAAGUUCUGUCCUAUGGGAAGAUAAUGACAGUACCAUAGAAGAAAGCUCCGGCUAAAUACGUGCCAGCAGCCGCGGUAAUACGUAUGGAGCGAGCGUUGUCCGGAAUUAUUGGGCGUAAAGGGUACGCAGGCGGUUUAAUAAGUCGAAUGUUAAAGAUCGGGGCUCAACCCCGUAAAGCAUUGGAAACUGAUAAACUUGAGUAGUGGAGAGGAAAGUGGAAUUCCUAGUGUAGUGGUGAAAUACGUAGAUAUUAAAAAGAAUACCGGUGGCGAAGGCGACUUACUGGGCUCAUUCUGACGCUGAGGAACGAAAGCGUGGGUAGCAAACAGG
RNAcentral lists this ribosomal RNA (403 nucleotides) under Bacteroidota bacterium. RNAcentral describes it as "Bacteroidetes bacterium partial 16S ribosomal RNA". It matches the Rfam family "Bacterial small subunit ribosomal RNA", at positions 355 to 776 of the family's 1533-position model. Lineage: Bacteria; Pseudomonadati; Bacteroidota. The record is from RNAcentral.